RNAcentral lists this ribosomal RNA (1152 nucleotides) under Clostridium perfringens. Its description in RNAcentral is "partial 23S ribosomal RNA". It matches the Rfam family "Bacterial large subunit ribosomal RNA", at positions 113 to 1271 of the family's 2925-position model. Lineage: Bacteria; Bacillati; Bacillota; Clostridia; Eubacteriales; Clostridiaceae. The record is from RNAcentral.
UCCGAAUGAGGAAACUCACAUGGGAAACCCCAUGUAUCAUUAAGUGAAUACAUAGCUUAAUGAAGGUAACCCAGGGAACUGAAACAUCUAAGUACCUGGAGGAAGAGAAAGAAAAAUCGAUUUUCUUAGUAGCGGCGAGCGAAAGGGAAAGAGCCCAAACCGGAAACUUGUUUCCGGGGUUGUGGACAUAACAUAAAAGUGGAGGCUAUUGUAACUGAAGAGAACUGGAAAGUUCCACCGUAGAAGGUAAUAGUCCUGUAAGUGAAACGAGAAGACCACGAGUUAUGAUCCAGAGUACCACGAGACACGUGAAACCUUGUGGGAAGCAGGGAGGACCACCUCCCAAGGCUAAAUACUACCUGAUGACCGAUAGUGAAGCAGUACCGUGAGGGAAAGGUGAAAAGAACCCCGGGAGGGGAGUGAAAUAGAACCUGAAACCGUGUGCCUACAACCGCUCAGAGCCCCUUAUGAGGGUGAUGAGGUGCUUUUUGUAGAACGAGCCAACGAGUUACGGUAUGUAGCAAGGUUAAGUACUUAAGGUACGGAGCCGAAGGGAAACCGAGUCUGAAUAGGGCGACUAGUUGCAUGCCGUAGACCCGAAACCGGGUGACCUAUCCAUGGCCAGGUUGAAGCGAGGGUAAAACCUCGUGGAGGACCGAACCACGUUGCUGUUGAAAAAGCAUGGGAUGAGCUGUGGAUAGCGGAGAAAUUCCAAUCGAACCCGGAGAUAGCUGGUUCUCUCCGAAAUAGCUUUAGGGCUAGCGUCGAGUAUGAGUAGUGGAGGUAGAGCACUGAAUGGGCUAGGGGGCAUAGCGCUUACCGAACCUUAUCAAACUCCGAAUGCCACAUACUUUGAGCUCGGCAGUCAGACUACGAAUGAUAAGAUCCGUGGUCAAAAGGGAAACAGCCCAGAUCGUCAGCUAAGGUCCCAAAGUGUAAGUUAAGUGGGAAAGGAUGUGAGAUUUCUAAGACAACUAGGAUGUUGGCUUAGAAGCAGCCAUUCAUUAAAAGAGUGCGUAAUAGCUCACUAGUCGAGAGAUCUUGCGCCGAAAAUGUAACGGGGCUAAACUUACCACCGAAGCUACGGGCUUGAACUUAUGUUCAAGCGGUAGGAGAGCGUCGUAACCGGGUUGAAGUCGUACCGUAAGGAGC